CCCAUACAAUCUUGCUAGCGCAUGCUAAAAAGAUAAAAGCUCCGGCGGUGUAAAAUGAGCGUGCGUCCUAUUAGCUAGUUGGAGAGGUAAUGGCUCACCAAGGCUACGAUGGGUAGGGGUUCUUAGUGGAAGGUCCCCCACACUGGCACUGAGAUACGGGCCAGACUCCUACGGGAGGCAGCAGUAGGGAAUAUUGGUCAAUGGGCGCAAGCCUGAACCAGCCAUGCCGAGUGCAGGAUGAAGGCUCUCUGAGUUGUAAACUGCUUUUGUACAGGAGCAAAAAAGCCCCUGCGGGGGCUCUUGAGAGUACUGUAAGAAUAAGCACCGGCUAAUUCCGUGCCAGCAGCCGCGGUAAUACGGAAGGUGCAAGCGUUAUCCGGUUUUAUUGGGUUUAAAGGGUGCGUAGGCGGCUUAUUAAGUCAGUUGUGAAAUCCUAGUGCUUAACGCUAGAACUGCGAUUGAUACUAUUAGGCUUGAGUUAAGAAGAGGUAGGCAGAAUUUAUGGUGUAGUAGUGAAAUGCUUAGAUAUCAUAAGGAAUACCAAUAGCGUAGGCAGCUUACUGGUCUUUAACUGACGCUGAGGCACGAAAGCGUGGGGAGCAAACAGGAUUAGAUACCCUGGUAGUCCACGCCGUAAACGAUGAUCACUCGAUAUACAUGAAACCUCGUGUGUGUCUAAGCGAAAGCGUUAAGUGAUCCACCUGGGGAGUAUACUCGCAAGGGUGAAACUCAAAGGAAUUGACGGGGGUCCGCACAAGCGGUGGAGUAUGUGGUUUAAUUCGAUAAUACGCGAGAAACCUUACCUGGGCUAGAAUGUAAAGGACACCUUGAG
This 832-nucleotide ribosomal RNA is filed under the name Cardinium endosymbiont of Brevipalpus phoenicis. RNAcentral's name for it is "bacterial SSU rRNA". It matches the Rfam family "Bacterial small subunit ribosomal RNA", at positions 170 to 1003 of the family's 1533-position model. The record is from RNAcentral. Lineage: Bacteria; Pseudomonadati; Bacteroidota; Cytophagia; Cytophagales; Amoebophilaceae.